ACUCCUACGGGAGGCAGCAGUGAGGAAUAUUGGACAAUGGAGGAGACUCUGAUCCAGCCAUGCCGCGUGUAGGAAGAAUGCCCUAUGGGUUGUAAACUACUUUUAUACAGGAAGAAACACUGGUAUGUAUACCAGCUUGACGGUACUGUAAGAAUAAGGACCGGCUAACUCC
RNAcentral lists this ribosomal RNA (172 nucleotides) under uncultured Bacteroidota bacterium. RNAcentral's name for it is "uncultured Bacteroidetes bacterium partial 16S ribosomal RNA". It matches the Rfam family "Bacterial small subunit ribosomal RNA", at positions 335 to 504 of the family's 1533-position model. The record is from RNAcentral. Lineage: Bacteria; Pseudomonadati; Bacteroidota.